Long non-coding RNA from Dreissena polymorpha, 4539 nucleotides. RefSeq lists it as uncharacterized. The transcript has 3 exons. The record is from RefSeq and is a predicted model, not a curated record. NCBI's taxonomy places the organism in Eukaryota, Metazoa, Mollusca, Bivalvia, Myida, Dreissenidae.
GACAACCUUUUGGGUAAAAGGUCACAUAACCCCAAACCGGAACUCCUGUUUUUAGGGUUACAUGCAGUCAGUUUGAUACUUAGCACACAUUGUUGAGUGCAUGCUGCCUAGGAUUUGUAAAAUACAUUGCAAAUGGUUGGUUUUGGUAUCAACAUGAAGGUAUAUUUGUAAGCAAUAAGAAAAUAAGCCAUUUUUGUGCUCUACUUUUUGUGUUGAUGGUUCCCGGCUUUGAAAGUAGGUCAUACUAUUUGAGCCCAAAAUGGUUGUCUGCACAGCUGUCAAAACCGGUUUGCCUUUUCUAAGGUAAUUAUUUUGAGUUUGCGCGUAUAGAAUUUAAUGACAUGCAUUUUUUUCAAAAGAUUAUGCAUUAAUCUUUCCAAUGAUGUAUGAUGAUAUAGUGGGUAUGCGCUUGAUCAUGGUAAAAAUUGAUAUCGAACUUCAACUAUUUUAUAUGUAAUAUAGAAGGAAAUUAAUUGCGCAUGCGUAACCUUUAAGCACAUCCGACCAAGUUAGUCGUCUGCCAGAAUUUUGACAUUUGAACAUCAAAAACUCUCUGUAUUGCAAAACAUAACUGCCAGAUGUCAUUUUGACCCAAAUUAGGGCUGUUUGCAAUUGGGCUGUUGCACUUAGGGUCAUAAGGGGGGUAAAUGCUGGAAAAUCACACCGAAACCUGUUCCGGAGACAUAUUCUAAGACUAGUUAAACACCCGGCGGUGUCGAAAUGGGUCUAUAGCUCUGCCUGAACUGUCGUCCAAUUGGUUUACAAGUCCGGCUGAAGUGACCGGCCAUCAAAAACUGUACAGCGUGACUGAUUCGGAGACGGCCCUCAACACUCGCACAGUCGUGUCGAGAGGAUCGGUGUCUUUGCAGAUUACACGGAAUUGAGCACCCGGGCCAGACUGACACUUUCCGGAGCCUGCCCGAGACGGAACUCGAGCCGAGGAAUCAUAGGUCCAGGUGUGACAAAAGACUUAAAGCUCAUGUCUGACGAUGACUUUUUUUAGUCAUGAAGUCAAGUGUGUUGUUUUUCCAUGCAAGUGAGCCCUUUUGUUGGGUCAAAUGACAUCAGAAUUGCUGCUUCUACAUGGAUUUUACCUAAAAUGUGCAAAAAAAAAAUAAAAAAAAGUUUGUUCGAAUCAUGUUCAAAACCUGCUUUGAUGCACAAAUAUUGCCAUUGAUGAUUUUUUUCACUUAUUAAGCCAUAUGUAAGAUCAGCUUUGCCUAUUAGAACCGAAAGACAUGCCUUGUAUGGAGUCUAAGUGCUGCAUGUAUGAUGUAACCAAGUUUGGCUUUUCUACCUUAAUUCUUGACGCGAAACGCUGUUACGCAUGGCGCUUUCAACGGCAACUUUUAUGAAUAAAUCUGUGUGUCAUUGUACCGGAACUUUGUGAUCUUUCUCAAAACAGAUUAUACCUAUUGGAAAAGUGCCUUUAAUUUAAAUUUGAAGGGGUUGGGUUCUCUUAAAGGUCACAUAACCCCAAACCGGAACUCCUGUUUUUAGGGUUACAUGCAGUCAGUUUGAUACUUAGCACACAUUGUUGAGUGCAUGCUGCCUAGGAUUUGUAAAAUACAUUGCAAAUGGUUGGUUUUGGUAUCAACAUGAAGGUAUAUUUGUAAGCAAUAAGAAAAUAAGCCAUUUUUGUGCUCUACUUUUUGUGUUGAUGGUUCCCGGCUUUGAAAGUAGGUCAUACUAUUUGAGCCCAAAAUGGUUGUCUGCACAGCUGUCAAAACCGGUUUGCCUUUUCUAAGGUAAUUAUUUUGAGUUUGCGCGUAUAGAAUUUAAUGACAUGCAUUUUUUUCAAAAGAUUAUGCAUUAAUCUUUCCAAUGAUGUAUGAUGAUAUAGUGGGUAUGCGCUUGAUCAUGGUAAAAAUUGAUAUCGAACUUCAACUAUUUUAUAUGUAAUAUAGAAGGAAAUUAAUUGCGCAUGCGUAACCUUUGGGUAGUAAAGUAGUAAUACAAGGCAAUAUGGCGACCGUUAGCCACGAGGCCUAUCUUACGGAGGAAUCCGAGAUAGCCGAUGUAUCACGAUUGAUAACCAUCUGAUGUCCCACUGUUUACAUUCUAUUUAUAGAACAGGUUUUUCCAUUAUUGACCUAACUAUAUAAUAAUGCCGAGAGUAGCCUUUACAGGAUAACCAGGUCGAACCUCAAAGACCUCGUGAAGAGGCCGAUAGGACCUGUAAAUAAACUCUGAUUUAAAAAACAAAACUUUACAGGAUAAAGCAUAUAUGUAACUGGCUGUGAUCAACUCUCGUAAGGAUGAGGUUGAUGUUAUCUUGUGUAAUCUGCCUUAUAGCUACCAUUAUGCCACUAUGAUUAACACAACUGUUAUUAAUACAUACUGUAAAUGCUCAUGUCAAUAAGACAUGCUUUGUGAUUGUAUAACUCAACCAUAGUGUACAUACAUGUCUUACUAUAAGAUAAGAAGCAAUCCAAUAGUUGUUGUCUUUUUCAAAUACUUUUGUCCAAGUGUUUAUCUUUAAUUGUAUGAGUAUUACUAUUAUACAAUGAUAUACAGUAACUGUUGUCUUUUUCAAAUACUUUUGUUCAACUGUUUAUCUUUAAUUGUAUGAGUACUACUAUAUUAUACAAUGAUAUACAGUAGUGGUUGUCUUUUCCAAAUACUUUUGUUCAUCUGUUUAUCUUUAAUUGUAUGAGUAUAACUGUUUUACGAUGAUAUACAAUAGUUGUUAUCUUUAAUUGUAUGAGUAUAACUGUUAUACGUGGAAAUACAAUAGUUGUUAUCUUGUUCAAAUACUUUGUCCAACUGUUUAUCUUUAAUUGUAUGAAUAUUACUAUUACACAAUGAUAUACACUAUGAAUCUUAUCCCUACAAACCAUCUAUGGUUUUGUUUUCGCAUAGGUGGUCGCAUAUGGGUUUAUUCAUUCAUUGGUGAACAUAAAAAUAUUUGUCUCUUAAUAAUAUUGUACUAUAUAUGUGUGUAUAGAUAGAUAUAUAUAUAAUAUAUUUCCCCAUAGAUCACCUAUUCAAAUAAAUAGGUGAUCCUUUUUUUGGGGUAAAUUUAAUACUAAAUAAAUACCAAUAGCCCUAUUUUAUAACUUUCAUGACUAUAAUAUGUACUCAUGACUAAUCAAAGCAAAUCUUUAAACAAGAUUAUUUUAUACAAUUGUUAUUGUAAUUGCUAAAUAAUCUUGACAAAUGUGAAUCCUUUAAAUGUGCUAUAUACAGAAUCUUGUUGAGCUGAUAAAUUUGUGACACAAAAUUCAUAUUAAUUUAUUGAACUGCUUCAGUAAUAUUACAGAAAUAUAAUAUAUAUGGUUAAUCUGUCAUAAGAUACACUAUGUAAUCAAUUUCUAACAUCUUGAGUGGAUGAUCUUAAACUUUUACUUUCAAGAAAAGGCUGCACACAAUAAAAAAGCUGCAGUUUUUAACUGCCUAUGAACUAAGAGAUGCCUUGUAAACAGCUUUUUUUCUUCUAAACUGACAGGUACCUUGAUACAAUUUGUAUACUUAAAAUACAUAAAAACAUGUACUAUCUGAAAUACAAGGUCAUAAUCACAUAGUGUAAUUAGCUAUUCUUUUUCAGUUAUGUAACUAAGAACUUGUACAGGUAUGGACAUUUUUUAUUUUGUAUGUGUCUUUUUUCCCUCAAUCUGUAGGUAGUAAUAUUGAGAGGUAAAAUAUAUAUUUGCACUGACUUUUUCAAACUCUACCCAGAUACUGUGUUAUGCUCCUCGUAUGCUGAGUGACACACCUAUUUAUUAUACACAAGCAGUAUGCAUAAGCUCAUUAGCUUGCUGGUGUUUUCAUUUUGUUUGCACUUUGUGCUGUAUGCCUGUUUGAUUGUUUGAACAAAGAUAUAAUGUAUUGUAUGCAUUGCUGUAUGUGUUUAUGUAUUUCCAGAAAAAUCAAUGUGCUAUUUGUUAUCAUAUUUUAAAGGCAUGGGAUCUGAAUUUAGUAUUAUUAAGCUUAACUAUACAAAAUGACUAGUGUUCUGAAAAUUGUCUCUUUAAAUCAUAACUUUAUGGUACCUUGAUAUUAAGUGUUAUACUAAUAAUACAGAACAAUAUACUAUCUGAGAUACAAUGCCAUAGACACAUAGUGUAGUUAGUUAGUUCCUUUUUAACGAGGCAACUAAGAACUUUUACAGAUAUGGAAAAUUAUUGUUUGUGUGUUUGAUUUUUUUCCCUCAAUCUCUGGAUUGUCAUACUGAGAGGUUAAAUAUAACUUACACCGGCUUUGUGUUCUCAAACUCUACCCAGAUAUUGUGCUAUGCUCUUUGCAUACUAAAUGACAUACUUAUUAACAACUUAUUGAUUACAUACAGGAGUAUCAUUUAUAAGCAUAUUGGCUUGUGCUUAUUAUUUACAUGUUAUGUUGUAUGAUUAUAUACAUGUGUUUUAUGCAUAACCUUAUUGGCUUGUGCUUCUCUCCAAAUGGUAUGUUGUACAGUUAUAUACAUGAGUAUUAUUUAUAAGCUCAUUGACUAGUGCUUUUUUGUUCACAUGUUAUGCUGUAUAGUUAUAUACAUGAGAAUCAUUCAUAAGCUCAUAAGCUCAUUGGCUUGUGUUUUUUGGU